Molecule: ribosomal RNA, 497 nt
Filed under: uncultured bacterium
Lineage: Bacteria
Description: partial 16S ribosomal RNA
Rfam family: Bacterial small subunit ribosomal RNA
Source: RNAcentral
GAUGAACGCUGGCGGCGUGCCUAAUACAUGCAAGUCGAGCGAACGGACGAGAAGCUUGCUUCUCUGAUGUUAGCGGCGGACGGGUGAGUAACACGUGGAUAACCUACCUAUAAGACUGGGAUAACUUCGGGAAACCGUAGCUAAUACCGGAUAAUAUUUUGAACCGCAUGGUUCAAAAGUGAAAGACGGUCUUGCUGUCACUUAUAGAUGGAUCCGCGCUGCAUUAGCUAGUUGGUAAGGUAACGGCUUACCAAGGCAACGAUGCGUAGCCGACCUGAGAGGGUGAUCGGCCACACUGGAACUGAGACACGGUCCAGACUCCUACGGGAGGCAGCAGUAGGGAAUCUUCCGCAAUGGGCGAAAGCCUGACGGAGCACCGCCGCGUGAGUGAUGAAGGUCUUCGGAUCGUAAAACUCUGUUAUUAGGGAAGAACAUAUGUGUAAGUAACUGUGCACAUCUUGCCGGUACCUAAUCAGAAAGCCCCGGCUAACUACGUG